This is a long non-coding RNA of Jaculus jaculus (lesser Egyptian jerboa), 243 nucleotides long. RefSeq lists it as uncharacterized. The record is from RefSeq and is a predicted model, not a curated record. NCBI's taxonomy places the organism in Eukaryota, Metazoa, Chordata, Mammalia, Rodentia, Dipodidae. The transcript has 4 exons.
CAUAGGAGAGGACAAGGCUAUGAGAUGGCGAGGAAGCUCAGUGUGUUGGAAAUCCUUCUGAUCAUCUUUAACCUGGUUGCAGUGGCAGUAGACAUCCUCCUGCUGCUUCUUGUGCUGGAGAAGCCUUCAGGUUUAUUCAUUCCCGAGUGCCCAGACAUCCCGGAAUCAGAAAGAAUAGAUUGCGCACUUGGCAAGGAGGUGACAGAGGAAGGUUGCAGGUGGGAACGCAAGUGCUGCUGGAAG